GAUGAAGAACGCAGCAAAAUGCGAUAAGUAAUGUGAAUUGCAGAAUUCAGUGAAUCAUCGAAUCUUUGAACGCACAUUGCGCCCGCUGGUAUUCCGGCGGGCAUGCCUGUUCGAGCGUCAUUUCAACCCUCAGGCCCAGCCUGGCGUUGGGGAUCGGCGCGGCCCCUCCGGGGGCUGCCGGCCCCGAAAACUAGUGGCGGUCUCGCUGUAGUCCUCCUCUGCGCAGUAGCUAACACUCGCACUGGAACGCGGCGCGGCCAUGCCGUAAAACAACCCACUUCUGAAAGUUGACCUCGGAUCAGGUAGGAAUACCCGCUGAACUUAAGCAUAUCAAUAAGCGGAGGA
Molecule: unclassified non-coding RNA, 345 nt
Filed under: soil metagenome
Description: partial contains 5.8S ribosomal RNA, internal transcribed spacer 2, and large subunit ribosomal RNA
Rfam family: 5.8S ribosomal RNA (bases 1-120)
Source: RNAcentral